Molecule: ribosomal RNA, 511 nt
Filed under: Drosophila proceriseta
Lineage: Eukaryota; Metazoa; Arthropoda; Insecta; Diptera; Drosophilidae
Description: partial 16S ribosomal RNA
Rfam family: Bacterial large subunit ribosomal RNA
Source: RNAcentral
GUCUUUUUGAAUUAAAUUUAAAGUCUAACCUGCCCACUGAAAAUUUUAAAUGGCCGCAGUAUUCUAACUGUGCAAAGGUAGCAUAAUCAUUAGUCUUUUAAUUGAAGGCUGGAAUGAAUGGUUGGACGAAAUAUUAACUGUUUCAUUUAAAUUUUUUAUAAAAUUUUAUUUUUUAGUCAAAAAGCUAAAAUAAAUUUAAAAGACGAGAAGACCCUAUAAAUCUUUAUAUUUAGUUUAUUUUAAUAAUAAAGAUUAUUUUUAUUAUAAUAAAUUUAAAUAUUUUAUUGGGGUGAUAUUAAAAUUUAAAAAACUUUUAAUUUUUAAAAACCAUUAAUUUAUGAAUAAUUGAUCCAUUAAUAAUGAUUAAAAAUUUAAGUUACUUUAGGGAUAACAGCGUAAUUUUUUUGGAGAGUUCUUAUCGAUAAAAAAGAUUGCGACCUCGAUGUUGGAUUAAGAUAUAAUUUUGGGUGUAGCCGUUCAAAUUUUAAGUCUGUUCGACUUUUAAAUUCUU